UACGUAGGGACCAAGCGUUGUUCGGAUUUACUGGGCGUAAAGGGCGCUUAGGCGGCGCGGUAAGUCACUUGUGAAAUCUCUGAGCUUAACUCAGAACGGCCAAGUGAUACUGCAGUGCUAGAGUGUGGAAGGGGCAAUCGGAAUUCUUGGUGUAGCGGUGAAAUGCGCAGAUAUCAGGAGGAACACCGAUGGCGAAGGCAGGUCUCUGGGCAUUAACUGACGCUGAGGAGCGAAAGCGUGGGGAGCAAACGGG
This 253-nucleotide ribosomal RNA is filed under the name uncultured bacterium. RNAcentral describes it as "partial 16S ribosomal RNA". It matches the Rfam family "Bacterial small subunit ribosomal RNA", at positions 524 to 776 of the family's 1533-position model. The record is from RNAcentral.